Centruroides sculpturatus (bark scorpion) is the source of this 658-nucleotide long non-coding RNA. RefSeq lists it as uncharacterized. The transcript is spliced from 3 exons. NCBI's taxonomy places the organism in Eukaryota, Metazoa, Arthropoda, Arachnida, Scorpiones, Buthidae. The record is from RefSeq and is a predicted model, not a curated record.
UCUUUUAGGAUUUAUCAACAAAUGUUUCUCCUCGUAUUGUAAAAGGAACGACAUCAGGUCAUCUGUUUGGACCGGGUCAAGGAUCAUUUCUUAAUAUUGAACUUAUUAGCGAAAAAACAGCUGAAUAUUGGUGUCAAAGUAUAUCAGAACUAAAAAGAGAUUUUCCUUCAAAAAUACUUAUAGCAAGUAUUAUGUGCUCAUACAAUAAAGAUGAUUGGACAGAGCUAGCAAAAAUGGCAGAGAAUGCUGGUGCUGAUGCAUUAGAAUUAAAUUUGUCUUGUCCUCAUGGAAUGGGAGAAAGAGGAAUGGGUCUUGCAUGUGGUCAGGUAUAGUAUAAAUGGUUUGUCAGGAUUGAAACUGUGGAAAAAUUUGUGAAAUAUUUUUAACAUAUUAUAGGUUAAAUUGGAAAUUGGUGCAAAAUCAUCAAUUAAAAAUUAUUUAUUUAUAAAGAUUUAGACUGUUUCAUUUAGUUUUGUAGUAUAAUAUUAAUUAAAUCUACUGUUAGUUUUAGUUCUUCAUUUGGAAUUUCACAAUAAUUUCUGUGCAAUAUUUCAGAAGAAAGUGCUUUUAAUUCAUAAGAAGACUGUUAUUCAAGUUUUAGGAAAAUAUCUUUAUUGUAGAAAUGCAUUCUGUAAUGAACUCAGUAUUUGAAACAAAG